RNAcentral lists this ribosomal RNA (1242 nucleotides) under metagenome. RNAcentral's name for it is "bacterial LSU rRNA". It matches the Rfam family "Bacterial large subunit ribosomal RNA", at positions 1564 to 2817 of the family's 2925-position model. The record is from RNAcentral.
UGACGGCGAGACGCUAAGGCGUUGAAGCAGUGUACGUCAGACUUCCAAGAAAAGCUCGCAAUGUCAUAAAUAAAAAUGCCUGUACCACAACCGACACAGGUGGGUAGGUAGAGUAUACUAAGGGGCGCGAGAUAACUCUCCCUAAGGAACUCGGCAGAAUGACUCCGUAACUUCGGGAGAAGGAGUGCCUUAUUUAUAAGGUUGCAAUAACAAGAUCCAAGCAACUGUUUAUCAAAAACACAGGUCUCCGCUAAGUCGUAAGACGAUGUAUGGGGGCUGACGCCUGCCCAGUGCCAGAAGGUUAAAGAAGUUGGUUAGUGUAUGCGAAGCUGAUGACUGAAGCCCUGGUGAACGGCGGCCGUAACGAUAACGGUCCUAAGGUAGCGAAAUUCCUUGUCGGGUAAGUUCCGACCCGCACGAAAGGCGUAAUGAUUUGGAUACUGUCUCGGAGAGAGGCUCGGUGAAAUAGACUUGUCUGUGAAGAUGCGGACUACCUGCACCAGGACAGAAAGACCCUAUGAAGCUUUACUGUAACUUGAAAUUGGAAUUGGACUUUGCUUGCGCAGUAUAGGUGGGAAGCGUUGAAGAUAUUCUUGCGGGAGUAUUGGAGCUAUCAGUGAGAUACCACUCUUGUAAUGUUAGAUUUCUAACUUUGAACCAUAAUCUGGUCAAAGAACAGUUUCAGGUGGGCAGUUUGACUGGGGCGGUCGCCUCCCAAAUGGUAACGGAGGCGUACAAAGGUUUCCUCUGAACGGAUAGAAAUCGUAUCUAGAGUGUAAAGGCAUAAGGAAGCUUGACUGUGAGACCUACAAGUCGAGCAGGGACGAAAGUCGGUCUUAGUGAUCUGACGGUACUGAGUGGAAAGGCCGUCACUCAACGGAUAAAAGUUACUCUAGGAUAACAGGCUGAUCUCCCCCAAGAGUUCACAUCGACGGGGAGGUUUGGCACCUCGAUGUCGGCUCAUCGCAUCCUGGGGCGGUAGUACGUCCCAAGGGUUGGGCUGUUCGCCCAUGAAAGCGGUACGCGAGCUGGGUUCAGAACGUCGUGAGACAGUUCGGUCCAUAUCCGGUGUAGGCGUUAGAAUAUUGAGAGGAGCCUUCUUUAGUACGAGAGGACCGAGAAGGACACACCGCUGGUGUACCAGUUAUCGUGCCAACGGUAAACGCUGGGUAGCUAUGUGUGGAGUGGAUAACCGCUGAAAGCAUCUAAGUGGGAAGCCCACCUCAAGAUGAGUAUUCUCUU